Molecule: ribosomal RNA, 447 nt
Filed under: uncultured bacterium
Lineage: Bacteria
Description: bacterial SSU rRNA
Rfam family: Bacterial small subunit ribosomal RNA
Source: RNAcentral
UCGGGAAUUUUGUGCAAUGGGGGAAACCCUGACCCAGCAACGCCGCGUGAAGGAUGAAGUAUUUCGGUAUGUAAACUUCGAAAGAAUAGGAAGAAUAAAUGACGGUACUAUUUAUAAGGUCCGGCUAACUACGUGCCAGCAGCCGCGGUAAUACGUAGGGACCAAGCGUUGUUCGGAUUUACUGGGCGUAAAGGGCGCGUAGGCGGCAUGACAAGUCACUUGUGAAAUCUCUGGGCUUAACCCAGAACGGCCAAGUGAUACUGUCGCGCUAGAGUGCAGAAGGGGCAAUCGGAAUUCUUGGUGUAGCAGUGAAAUGCGUAGAUAUGCGGAGGAACACCGAUGGCGAAGGCAAUCCCCUGGACCUGUACUGACGCUCAUGCACGAAAGCGUGGGGAGCAAACAGGAUUAGAUACCCCCGUAGUCCCUGAGCGGGCUGGCAAGGCGCAU